UAUAUUGGUUUUGGAUUCCUAACAGUCGAAUUCUUCAAGGUCGAAACGAUAUCUCGGCGACAUACAUGUAUAUCGUAUGGGCUACAUGUAUUACAGAAAGGACCGCUAGAUGUCACUAAUGUGUAGUGGUACAAUGUAUGCUACACCUGGUGUCAAACCAGUUUCGCAAGAUUUUACUCAAAGCCGUUCGUCGCCAUGUUCGGUAAAGAAUAUCAAUGUUUUUGCCAUCCUGUGUAGUGUGUACUAUGGAUAGCUUAUCACAUUCGACCAUAAGAGAUUUACAAUGUACAUGUGUUCUAUGCAACAAUCUAUGUGUGGAUUAUGGGUGACGUCACGUCCUUUGGAAUAGGCCUGGAGACUUGAACAGCGUUUCGGGCUUCAAGAGAACCGAGAACAAUGGUUCUUCUUCUUGCGACCAUCUCAAGAGUCUGAUCGAGACUACCAAACUCCGACGACGCACCUGCUCGUGAAAACCAUGAUGUCAUCCAGACCUGUCAUUUUAAGAUGGGAUGAUGUAUCGUUUGUCGGGGGCGUACACCGGGAUUGAGGCUAGAAAAAGCGGCAAAUCUGCGGUUUGCGGCAGACCACGACGGGGAGAUCAGCCUGGAGACGUCCCUACCUGACAUCUUCACCAACCGUCGCCAGCCAGUGUGCACGACGUGGGUCGGAAGGAUCGGAUAACCUCGACGGCACCAGACCCGACGCUUGUCCGAGCACCCAUCGCACCCUUCACCUGCACAUCCGUACGGGAUACCGAUCAAGACAGCCCAACACCCCACAACCGUAGCCUUGACACACGAUGGACCGGCGAGUGUCGGUAUCUGUGGGGCUGCUAGUCCUCGUCGCUAUGGGCACUGGCGUGACUGGUCAAGGUGUGUGGAUGAGACGGGAUCCGUCAUGGGUUGUGGAAUCCUCAGGGUACCCAUGGGUCGACAAUGGAGUGUCAUAUG
This is a long non-coding RNA of Branchiostoma floridae (Florida lancelet), 950 nucleotides long. RefSeq lists it as uncharacterized. The record is from RefSeq and is a predicted model, not a curated record. The transcript is spliced from 4 exons. Lineage: Eukaryota; Metazoa; Chordata; Leptocardii; Amphioxiformes; Branchiostomatidae.